UAGUUGGUUAAAGUCCAACCGUAGAAAUUGAUAGUUCAUCUAUGUAGCUAGAAAGAGAUGCAAAGAGUAAUCUGAAGCAUUAAGUUCUUUGACAAAGGCUAAUUAAGUUAGUCGAGCGAUUAUGCAGGUUGUAAUGUAA
Helicobacteraceae bacterium CG2_30_36_10 is the source of this 139-nucleotide non-coding RNA. The record is from Rfam. NCBI's taxonomy places the organism in Bacteria, Pseudomonadati, Campylobacterota, Epsilonproteobacteria, Campylobacterales, Helicobacteraceae.